UGGCAGAAUAUUUUUUAAUUUUAAUAAUAUGAUUUAAAGAAACCCAAAACACAUGGAAAGCAUUAAACUUUGCUGUUAAACAGUAAAGUACAAAAGAAAACAAAUUUGAAACACUUACAUAUUAAAGUAGAAAAAUCUUUGAGCAAACAGUGAAUGCUUGAAAGAUGUUUUUUUUUUGUUUUUUGAAAAUAGAAUACAAGAGUCAUAAAGAUGCCUAGACAUAAUUUCCCAGCCAUGUCACUGUUAGGAAUUUUGGAAUUUAUGCAAAGGUAAUAACUCAAUAACAGCAAAAAGCAAAAUGUACAAAGAUGUUCAUGACACUACAAUAGCAAAAAAGCAAGCAAAUAAACAAAAAGUUAAAGACAACUCCAAGGUCUCAAGUAAGGGAAUGGCAUUAUUAAUUAUAAAACAGCAUCAAAAAUUAUAUUAGCUAGUCAUGAAAAUGCAAACUUUAAAAGGAAAAUGCUUAUUAUGUAAUGUUAAGUGAAAAAAAUUCAGGCCAUAAAAUGAAAUAUACAUUAUGCAUGCAUGAUGAAAAGACAAGAAAUAGAUAAGAAUGUGCAAAAAUACAAAUAGUUGGAUAUGGUGUGGGAUUCUGGCUUGUUUUCUGUUUUAAAGACAUUACAUCAUCUUUUCAAUGACAAACUACAUUUUAAGUAAUUGAAAACAAAGUCUCAUUAGCCUUGUCCUUGUAUAAAUUCCCAGAGAACACAUUAUUCUUAUUCAUUUCCACCUCUGCUACUUGUCUUUGAUUUGGACCAGCUCCAUUCUAUUUUCCCACUUCUCAGUCAUCUAACAAGACUAGAAAAAGACCCCCAUCAAACAAAGAAGCAAAAUGCACCAAGUUUAGCAGAAGCUGUGAAUCCAAAUCAGCGAACAUUGGCUGACUGGAUCUAAUACCUUGACCCCAACAUUGAAAAGGCAGACCCAGAUUCUUCAAUGACCACAAGAGGCCUUGGUUUAAGAAGCCUGCCAACGAAGCACAAUGUUCCCAUCCUCAGAAAUAGACCCCGGCGGAGCUUCCAGGGGCCCAUAAAAGUCUGCACUCUUGGAAGAAUGUGACAACUCUGGCAACAAAUACAGAUUCGUCAUUCUCUAUAUUAAGGGAAUGUUCAGUUGCAUCAGGCUUUUUUAACAGGGCCAACACUUAGUGCAAUUUUGAGGUUGGCAAAGUGAAUUUUCACCUACCCCAAGGCUUCUUUCCCUGCCUCCAGAUGAUCAAUAAAAUCACCUCAUGUUACAGUUUCAAAGUCCUUUCACAUCCAAUUUCUCAUCUGAAUCUUUCAUCAGCCCAAUGAGGUGGGUGUUAUUAUUCACUUGACUUUUCAGAAGAGAAUAUUGAGGCUUAGGGAAGUGAAGCGACUUGUCUAAAGCCACCCAGCAAGUCUGGGACUGAAUGAGACACAAGCCCCAUCCUAACUUCUGGUCAGUUCUCCUUCCAUUUACCCUAGGCACUCAUCCCUCUUCCAGUUCAUAAGGAGAGCUGACCCAGUGCACCUGCUGACAGCGGCACUCAGCGUGCUGCCAUCCCAGGGAUACCUAUGUUUUAAAGGAAGGCAGAUGGGGAAAGACAGCAUGUAGCCUGUAAGAAGGAAAAGUCAAGUGGAAUUCCAAAGAAGAUGCUGAAAUAGCUGACUUAGCAGCUCUAGGGAACUAUAGAGAAAAACACUGAGAGGUAGAGAGAGCUAUGAGGAACCCCUGGGGAGACAGAAACUCUUUUUAACUGUCAAGUAUGUGUAUCUGGAAAGGUCUUAGCCUAAAGCAAAAGGUAUCCAGGCUGCUGUAGAAGGAUGAAAUAAAAGCUGUUGCUUCUUAGACUUCAUUUCUCCUCCCUCUCACUCUCACUGUUUUGGGACAGACACGGCACGAGCUUAGAACUCUUGAACAAGUGCUCCUGGGAUGUAAAACUAGGGUAGUGUGGAAGCCCUGUGCCUGGGUGGGAGUGAGAAAAAAAAUAGACAAUGAUGGAUGGGCCACAGGUGGUCACUGCCCAACUCUCUCCCUCUAAACCGCCAGGGCUGGUGGAUUACCAUCGCCUUUCCCGGAUGCUAGUUCUUUCUAAAGUAAAGAAUACAUCUGAGGAGCUGUGUGGUGGAUGAGGAGUGAUAUACUCUGGUUUCCUGAUGCCUGAAACCCACCACUCUAGGUGCAUGCUUCGCUCUAUCCCCAUCUCAAACUCAUCAAGGCAGGUCAGUGCAGACGGAAGUUUGACCUUCAACCCUUCAGUCAUUGGCAUUGCUGGACAGAAUAAUCUAUACCCUAAAGAAAUGGAAGCUGGAUCUAAAGAGAAGCACUAAUUUUUUUAAAAAAGAAAGAAAAAGGAAAACCAACAACUUGAAUUAUAGAUUCCAUAGAAACCAGAGGUAUUAGAAUGGACAGAUUAAAAAUUUAUGUAUGCAUAUUUUUAAAUAAGGUAUAAUAUUAGCAAUAUGAAAUGAAAACAAGAAAUCAUAAAAAGAAUCAAGUAUAGGCCGGGCGUGGUGGCUCACGCCUGUAAUCCCAGCACUUUGGGAGGCUGAGGCUGGUGGAUCACCUGAGGUAGGAGUUCGAGACCAGCCUGACCCACAUGGUGAAACCCUGUGUCUACUAAAAAUACAAAAAUUAGCUGGGCAUGUUGGUGUGCACCUGUAAUCCCAGCUACUUGGGAGGCUGAGGCAAGGGAAUUGCUUGAACCUGGGAGGCAGAGGUUGCAGUGAGCCGAGAUCGUGCCACUGCACUCCAGCCUGGGUCUCAGAGUGAGACUCCAUUUCAAAAAAAAAAAAAAAAAGGAAUCAAGUAUAAAUUUAGGUGUGACAAAUAUAAUAGUUAAGAUAAUGAUGAUAACUAGUAGAAAAGAUUCUGUUGAGAAAUGACUUAGUGAAUGAGGAGAUCACUAAGUCAAAAUUUAUCUCAAUGCAAUAAGAGCUAUUUAUGACACAGCCACAGCCAAUAUCAUACUGAAUGGCAAAAGCUGGAAGCAUUCCCUUUGAAAACCGGCAGAAGACAAGGAUGCCCUCCCUCACCACUCCUAUUCAGCAUAGUAUUGGAAGUUCUGUCCAGGGCAACCAGGCAAGAGAAAGAAAUAAAGGGUAUUCAAAUGGGAAGAGAGGAAGUCAAAUGCUCUCUGUUUCCAGAUGACAUGAAUGUCUAUUUGAAAACCCCAUUGUCUCAGCCCAAAAUCUCCUUAAGCUGAUAAGCAACUUCAGCAAAGUCUCAGGAUACAAAAUCAAUGUGCAAAAAUCACAAGCAUUCCUAUAUACCAAUAAUAGACAAACAGAGAGCCAAAUCAUGAGUGAACUCCCAUUCACAAUUGCUACAAAGGGAAUAAAAUACCUAAGAAUACAGCUUACAAGGGUUGUGAAGGACUCUUCAAGGACAGCUACAAACUACUGCUCAAGGAAAUAAGAGAGGACAUAAACAAAUGGAAAAGCAUUCCAUGCUCAUAGAUAGGAAGAAUCAAUAUCAUGAAAAUGGCCAUACUGCCCAAAGUAAUUUAUAGAU
This 3480-nucleotide long non-coding RNA is filed under the name Homo sapiens (human). RNAcentral describes it as "long non-coding RNA NONHSAT195111.1". Lineage: Eukaryota; Metazoa; Chordata; Mammalia; Primates; Hominidae. The record is from RNAcentral.